This 687-nucleotide ribosomal RNA is filed under the name Hymenobacter latericoloratus. RNAcentral describes it as "bacterial SSU rRNA". It matches the Rfam family "Bacterial small subunit ribosomal RNA", at positions 96 to 782 of the family's 1533-position model. Lineage: Bacteria; Pseudomonadati; Bacteroidota; Cytophagia; Cytophagales; Hymenobacteraceae. The record is from RNAcentral.
UGGCGCACGGGUGCGUAACGCGUAACCAACCUGCCCCGAUCUGGGGGAUAGCCCGCCGAAAGGCGGAUUAAUACCGCAUAUACCCGCAGCCUGGCAUCAGGCAACGGGGAAAGAUUUAUUGGAUCGGGAUGGGGUUGCGUGACAUUAGCUAGUUGGCGGGGUAACGGCCCACCAAGGCGACGAUGUCUAGGGGACCUGAGAGGGUGAUCCCCCACACUGGCACUGAGAUACGGGCCAGACUCCUACGGGAGGCAGCAGUAGGGAAUAUUGGGCAAUGGGCGAGAGCCUGACCCAGCCAUGCCGCGUGCCGGAUGAAGGCCUUCUGGGUUGUAAACGGCUUUUCUCAGGGAAGAAAACGACCUUGCGAGGUACACUGACGGUACCUGAGGAAUAAGCACCGGCUAACUCCGUGCCAGCAGCCGCGGUAAUACGGAGGGUGCAAGCGUUGUCCGGAUUUAUUGGGUUUAAAGGGUGCGUAGGCGGCUUGUUAAGUCCGGGGUGAAAGCCCACUGCUCAACAGUGGAACUGCCCUGGAUACUGGCAAGCUUGAGUCCAGACGAGGUUGGCGGAAUGGAUGGUGUAGCGGUGAAAUGCAUAGAUACCAUCCAGAACCCCGAUUGCGAAGGCAGCUGACUAGGCUGGUACUGACGCUGAGGCACGAAAGCGUGGGGAGCGAACAGGAUUAGA